GAUGAACGCUGGCGGCGUGCUUAACACAUGCAAGUCGAACGAAGCAAUUGGAGUGCUUGCACUUUGAUUGACUGGAGUGGCGGACGGGUGAGUAACGCGUGGGUAACCUGCCUCACACAGGGGGACAACAGUUGGAAACGACUGCUAAUACCGCAUAACAUGUGACUGUGGCAUCACAGACACAUCAAAGAUUUAUCGCUGAAAGAUGGGCUCGCGUUGGAUUAGAUAGUUGGUGAGGUAACGGCUCACCAAGGCGACGAUCAGUAGCCGGUCUGAGAGGAUGAACGGCCACAUUGGGACUGAGAUACGGCCCAGACUCCUACGGGAGGCAGCAGUGGGGAAUAUUGGGCAAUGGGGGAAACCCUGACCCAGCAACGCCGCGUGAAGGAAGAAGGCUUUCGGGUUGUAAACUUCUUUUACCAGGGACGAAGAACGUGACGGUACCUGGAGAAAAAGCAACGGCUAACUACGUG
RNAcentral lists this ribosomal RNA (473 nucleotides) under uncultured bacterium. RNAcentral describes it as "bacterial SSU rRNA". It matches the Rfam family "Bacterial small subunit ribosomal RNA", at positions 28 to 507 of the family's 1533-position model. The record is from RNAcentral.